This 482-nucleotide ribosomal RNA is filed under the name uncultured bacterium. Its description in RNAcentral is "partial 16S ribosomal RNA". It matches the Rfam family "Bacterial small subunit ribosomal RNA", at positions 30 to 507 of the family's 1533-position model. The record is from RNAcentral.
AUUGAACGCUGGCGGCAUGCCUUACACAUGCAAGUCGAACGGUAACGGGCCUUCGGGGGCCGACGAGUGGCGAACGGGUGAGUAAUACAUCGGAACGUGCCCGAUCGUGGGGGAUAACGAGGCGAAAGCUUUGCUAAUACCGCAUACGAUCUACGGAUGAAAGCAGGGGACCGCAAGGCCUUGCGCGGACGGAGCGGCCGAUGGCAGAUUAGGUAGUUGGUGGGAUAAAAGCUUACCAAGCCGACGAUCUGUAGCUGGUCUGAGAGGAUGAUCAGCCACACUGGGACUGAGACACGGCCCAGACUCCUACGGGAGGCAGCAGUGGGGAAUUUUGGACAAUGGGCGCAAGCCUGAUCCAGCCAUGCCGCGUGCAGGAUGAAGGCCUUCGGGUUGUAAACUGCUUUUGUACGGAACGAAAAGCCUUCUUUUAAUACAGGAGGGUCAUGACGGUACCGUAAGAAUAAGCACCGGCUAACUACGUG